This is a long non-coding RNA of Erigeron canadensis, 808 nucleotides long. RefSeq lists it as uncharacterized. The transcript is spliced from 2 exons. The record is from RefSeq and is a predicted model, not a curated record. NCBI's taxonomy places the organism in Eukaryota, Viridiplantae, Streptophyta, Magnoliopsida, Asterales, Asteraceae.
UCUCCUAAUUCCAUCGUACAUUCUCUAUUUCCUAUAUCUAAUAAUUUGGUGAUGAUUCUCAAUCCAUCGUUCGUCUUCCAUUUUCUCCAUUGUUCAUCCUUCAUCCUCGACUGCCUCCAUCAACAACAUAAAUCCAAAACUUUUUAAAGCUCCACUUUUAAAAGUAUUAUCCAUCAGUUCAUAUAUCCAAGAUGAUGUGAGCCAUAUAAAUCUUUUUGUUUAUUUAGUUCCAUCAUCGUGACCACGUCUUGACUCUUUCCCUGAAAAACUCAAGAAUCUCUCUUGUUGUAUUUACGAUCAAAACAAUCUCUUGCAUAUUACUAUUCAGCCGUGUUUGAUAUGAUGUGAAGUAAUGGAGUUUUGGAGCUACAGUGACGUUUUGAUUAUUGAUAUUGGACUUUUGGAUGUAUUCAUAAAGUGGUUUGAGGCUUAACAUAUUGGACGAGCUAAACAUUUUAUUUUUAUUUUUUUUAAGUGACUAGCCGUUAAAGAAAAGGACCCGAUUGGUUGAUUUGCAGCAGCUUUUGUAACGCUCAUCAAGAAAAGGACUUGAUGUGCAACAAUUCAUGUAACGACUGUCAGAAAAAGGACCAUGACUGCACAAUUUCAUUACAACAUGUAAAGGCUAUUAAUGUGCGCUUAUGGACGCCUGUUAGACUGAAAUGUGUAUGCAACACAAUUUCAAAUCAUUUGAUUCCAUGCGGGAUCCCAAAGGCGGUACCACAUGGGGGGAAGAGGGGCCAAUACCCCAUUGAAAUUUUGAUCUUGUUAUGUAUUUAAAAAAAUUUCAUGGAUUUUUAAAACUUUA